CAGUGUUCCUGAUUAAGGUUAAGUCUUCUUGAAGAUUGGUGUACUGAACAAUUGCCUGGCUAACGCUUCCCUAACCCACGUCAAGCCACGAUCAUGUUUCAGACCUGAAACUAUGCGUCGGGAACCAAGAAGAGAGACAGACUUGAGAGUGAGGGACUAAAGAAGCAGACAGAUGCGAAAAUCUCUGCUCUAUGCAGCGUCCAGCCACUGUUUUUCCUCAGGCAUCCUUGGAGUCAUGCCUUGCACAUGCUCUAUUCCGGGGUCAACCAAGUAUUUAAGGGAAAUGGAAUAUCUCCUGGUGGAACAAUCAAAAUGAUCCUAAAGGCCAUGUCUUUGCAAAGCCAAAAUGAUCCGCAAAAACUUAAGCAUAUUGUCUCAAGUCCAGAAUCAAUCUCUCUGAAAAAAAAGAGGAAUUCGUGAUGGACUUUUUACCAGACGCUGCUGUGUUGUAUUCUAGCCAAAAGUGCCCCCAGGCCUUUGUUAAGUGGUUACAGUAUUUAAAGGUAAGUUCUAUAUGUUGGUUUCAAUCUCCUAGAAAUACACAAUGUCUAAGUGGAGCUAUUUUAUUUUGAUGGAAAAAAAUGAGAAUUUGUCAUUUGCAAGCUAAUUUGAGGUUUGGGCCAAACCAGUAGACUCUCACUUUGCUUUUCACCAAAUAAAAUUAGUUUUUGGCAACA
This 677-nucleotide long non-coding RNA is filed under the name Felis catus (domestic cat). RNAcentral's name for it is "lncRNA (ENSFCAG00000044842.2)". The record is from RNAcentral. Lineage: Eukaryota; Metazoa; Chordata; Mammalia; Carnivora; Felidae.